UUUUUUUCCCCCCUAUACCUGUGUAGAGGGGUUUUGUUGUUGUUGUUCCUACUGGAUGUUGUUCUCUUAGAAUGAGCCAGUAUUUCAAAUAUUAAACCUGCCUCCUGAAAAUAGGAUAUGCAGAAGAGAUAAGCCUCCUCAGGCCUAUUUUAUUGCCAGUUAAAGAUAAUAAUUUGUGUGUAUCCUCACAGUCCUCAGUCUUCAGAGUGCUCCCUCCUGUUUAUGAAAUUCCUCUCUUCACCGGAACUGGACUUCUCUGUGACCUCUGUGACCUUCAGUGACCAUGAAGAGCCUUGAGUACGUUAGGAGCAAAGCUGUGGAAAUUGGAGAGACGUGGAUCUGAGAGAUGGACGGGCUCGGACCCAUCCUCCCUGCAGGGAUCUCUGCUGUUCCUGGGCCAUCCAGGCUCACUGCAGGGCUGAGACAAUUCCAUCAUCCAUGGGGAGAUGCUGCACCCAGGGGAGGAGCCCGGCAUUCCCAGCUGGAUCACACCUGGGAUUGGGAACAGCAGCACAGGCUGUGUGCACAGGAUUGCCAGAGGAACACCGGAGCCAUCUCAGCACCACUGGAGCUUCUACAGGAUCAUCUCUGCUCCAACAGAACCACACCUGGCACUGCAGGAGGACUGGAUUGGGCUGCUCCCAACGCCCUGACCAACAAUGUGUCAGGCUGUAUUCUCAAAGUUGUCUGCUGGGGUUUCAGGAAUCAAGCAGUUACCAGCCUUGGGAGUUCUUUGAGUGAAUUUCUGGCUGAUUUGUGCUCUGUUUCACAGCUCAGCAGCUCACCCCUGUGAGGAACAGGUGAUGUUUGAUUUGAUUUAACACAAAGGAACUUGUCCAUUUCGGUUAUAAUGGAGCAGCGCCUUCAGUGGAUCAUGUUUUCAUGCUCAUGAGAAAAAGCUUCUCUUAUUUGGGACUCAGCAGGUUGUGGGUCCUCACCAAGGGUAUCCUGGAUCAAGUAAGAUGACUCCCUCUGAGGAGAACAGUCCCCAGGAAAGUGAAUUCCAUGGAUCACCUCUGCCAAGCCUCAGACAGCGUGUCACGAUCCGCGUUCCUCCCUCCCCUCCGCGUGUGUGCACGCUCACCCGUUUGUCGAAAGGCUUGGGGCAGCAGCCAGGGCUAUAAUUACCAUUCUGUUCAGCGCUGUGCUGCUUGUUUUCCCAGUGUACAGCAGUGGAUGUGGG
Molecule: long non-coding RNA, 1183 nt
Organism: Hirundo rustica (Barn swallow)
Lineage: Eukaryota; Metazoa; Chordata; Aves; Passeriformes; Hirundinidae
Exons: 4
Source: RefSeq, a predicted model, not a curated record